GUUUAUUGCCAUGCCACCAUGAAUGAGCCCAGUCCCGUCUUAUUUGGGAAGAUAAGCAGGGUCGGGCCUGGUUAGUACUUGGGAUGGGAGACCACCUAGGAAGACCAGGUACUGUAGGUG
This 120-nucleotide ribosomal RNA is filed under the name Pteropus vampyrus (large flying fox). The record is from RNAcentral. Lineage: Eukaryota; Metazoa; Chordata; Mammalia; Chiroptera; Pteropodidae.